Molecule: long non-coding RNA, 528 nt
Filed under: Sparus aurata (gilthead seabream)
Lineage: Eukaryota; Metazoa; Chordata; Actinopteri; Spariformes; Sparidae
Description: lncRNA (ENSSAUG00010005446.1)
Source: RNAcentral
GAACUAAUCCUCACGCUCUGUAUUCCAGCAGGCUAGCUCCAGCUGCACGCAUGACCCCGCCUCCCAUCCUCUUAAUCUCUUUGUCUCACUUUAUUCACAGCAACACACCUUGUGAAGACGAGCAGCCAAGGAUCAGAGCAGCACUUCACAGACCCUCCUCCUCCUCCUCUUCCUCCUCUUCCUCCUCAUUCUUGUUCUCGCACCAGUACUUGGUGUCAGAUGGAGCAGAUAACUUUUUGAUUGCCUUCUGGUCAUUCCGGGGAAGUGGAGGAGCAGAAAAAAGCAGGAAGGUAAAGAGUAAGAAAGAGGAGGAAAGCAGUGUCCCAGUGCUCUUCAUCGUCAUUACAACCACCAUCAUCAUCAAAAAGGUCUUGCCCUUUGAAAGAGUGAGUGUGCGAAAGAGAUCUGAUAAGCACGAGCUUUAGGGUUUGUGGCGCUGGAGUCCUUUUGGUGUCAAACCCACUGGAGAGUCCGUCUGGCUUCGACUGUUUCUUUAAUGGCGACGACAGUCUUGAGCACACAGCCAAC